Molecule: long non-coding RNA, 387 nt
Organism: Mya arenaria
Lineage: Eukaryota; Metazoa; Mollusca; Bivalvia; Myida; Myidae
Exons: 3
Source: RefSeq, a predicted model, not a curated record
CGAAUAAAAUAGAAAGGGUGACUACUAGCAAUGGGUUGGGUCGACAAACUACCAGUGCCAAAACACGGAAAACUCCCUAUUGGCGGACUUGUAGCAUCUUCAGUUGUUAUUGGAAUUAUUUUAGGAUCAUUAGCAAACCUUUAUCUGGACAGGCAUUACCUAUUUAAUGCAAAGAAAUAUGAAGAGAUGCGCUUGGAAACAGGCCUGAGAGAAGACUAGAACUUGCCAUACAUGCAUGUGCGUACAAUGAAGGCACGACGUCCACAUUACACCUCUCAGAAGGGCGCAACCAUGCGUGUUCUUUUGCAUGUUCUGUUCGUGUGAUAGUUUUAAUAUUUGCUUAAUUAUGUAUUUAUUUGUUAAGAAAAAUAAAUGAAGUAUACUAAA